UCGAAUCUUGAAGAAUUUUGCAUCUGAACCACAGAGAUUUUCGUCCGAGGCAAAAGAAGCUUUUUGUCCAUAUAAAAAUGGUAUGAAUAUCGUGUAUUCUUGUGCCAGUAUUUCUAUAUAUCUGGCACAAGUUCAUCCAGCCGCUGGUCGAUAGAUGGUAUGGAAAACCGAAACUCGAAAGUGGUAAAACUGAUGAGAAACUGACUUUAGACCAAAAGGGCUUGCUUCCCAAUGGUGAUCUAAAAGUUGAUGAUUUACCUGCCAAAGAAGUGACUGCUGAUGGCCAUGUUAAGUCUGACUAGAGUCUUACACUAUCCAGUUGCACCUAAAUUGUACACAAACUUGUUGCCUGACCACAUGGGACAACUAUGUGAAGCAAGGAUCAUGAAGACUUUUGAUAAAACCCUAUGUUGUGGGACAGUCAUUUGUUGGAGUAAAAAAACCUUGUUUUACAAAGAAAAAAAUUUACAUGAAAAUUUUUUCCUUACACACCAAUGCAGUGUACACCAUCCUCUUUAUUUGGUUAAAAUCUUUUAUUUUUCAAAGUAUGACAAUUGUAAACUGUAAAUCAAGAGAAAAUAUGACCUGCACACAACUAGUCAUCAUUUAUGUGUAGCUUCAAUUUAAUAAAAAUUUUUGCGUCAUA
Long non-coding RNA from Pocillopora damicornis (cauliflower coral), 646 nucleotides. RefSeq lists it as uncharacterized. The record is from RefSeq and is a predicted model, not a curated record. Lineage: Eukaryota; Metazoa; Cnidaria; Anthozoa; Scleractinia; Pocilloporidae.